CGGGGUGGAGAAAGAGACAUAGAAGGCCCUGGAGAUUCCCCCAUGGGCGAUGGACCAGGCGCCAUUGGUGGAGUUGCCAUUGGCGGUGAAGGGGGUGAGGUCAACGAUGGACCCGGCGCCAUUGAUGGAGCUGCCAUUGGCGGUGCAGGGGGUGAGGUCAUGGAUGGACCAGGCGCCAUUGAUGGGGCUGACAUUGGCGGUGCAGGGGGUGAGGUCAUGGAUGGACCAGGCGCCAUCGGUGGAGCUGCCAUUGGCGGUGGUGACAUGGCCGGCGGCAUACUAGUUGAAGGCGGAGUUGCAGCCAUUUGUGGUGGUGCCGCCAUGCUAGAUGGUGGCAUUGCUGGUGUUGCCAUUGGAGGUG
Molecule: long non-coding RNA, 361 nt
Filed under: Olea europaea (common olive)
Lineage: Eukaryota; Viridiplantae; Streptophyta; Magnoliopsida; Lamiales; Oleaceae
Description: long non-coding RNA (OEUR_LNC010107)
Source: RNAcentral